UACGUAGGGUGCGAGCGUUAAUCGGAAUUACUGGGCGUAAAGCGUGCGCAGGCGGUUUUGUAAGCCAGAUGUGAAAGCCCCGGGCUCGACCUGGGAAUGGCAUUUGGGACUGCAAGGCUUGAGUGCGGCAGAGGAGACUGGAAUUCCUGGUGUAGCAGUGAAAUGCGUAGAUAUCAGGAGGAAUACCGAUGGCGAAGGCAGGUCUCUGGGCUGACACUGACGCUCAUGCACGAAAGCGUGGGGAGCAAACAGG
Molecule: ribosomal RNA, 253 nt
Filed under: uncultured bacterium
Lineage: Bacteria
Description: partial 16S ribosomal RNA
Rfam family: Bacterial small subunit ribosomal RNA
Source: RNAcentral